Molecule: ribosomal RNA, 274 nt
Filed under: uncultured bacterium
Lineage: Bacteria
Description: partial 16S ribosomal RNA
Rfam family: Bacterial small subunit ribosomal RNA
Source: RNAcentral
AUACGGAGGGUGCAUGCGUUAUCCGGAAUCAUUGGGUUUAAAGGGUCCGUAGGCGGACUAUUAAGUCAGAGGUGAAAUCCCACAGCUCAACUGUGGAACUGCCUUUGAUACUGGUAGUCUUGAGUUAUAUGGAAGUAGAUAGAAUGUGUAGUGUAGCGGUGAAAUGCAUAGAUAUUACACAGAAUACCGAUUGCGAAGGCAGUCUACUACGUAUAUACUGACGCUAAGGGACGAAAGCGUGGGGAGCGAACAGGAUUAGAUACCCUAGUAGUCC